Phrynosoma platyrhinos (Desert horned lizard) is the source of this 73-nucleotide non-coding RNA. NCBI's taxonomy places the organism in Eukaryota, Metazoa, Chordata, Lepidosauria, Squamata, Phrynosomatidae. The record is from the annotation of a GenBank genome assembly.
GUCUGUGUGGUGUAGUGGUUUGAGCAUUGGACUAGGACCUUGGGAGACCAGGGUCCAAAUCCCUGCUCAGCCA